ACCUAUCAUACUACUAUGGGCUGACCCUGUAAAACAACACCUAUCAUACUACUAUGGGCUGACCCUGUAAAACAACACCUAUCAUACUACUAUGACUGACCCUGUAAAACAACACCUAUCAUACUACUAUGACUGACCCUGUAAAACAGCACAAUACACUGGACCUAUCAUACUACUAUGACUGACCCUGUAAAACAGCACAAUACACUAUAAUACUACUAUGGUGUAUGUAACAAUAAAACAUAAUUUAAAACUAAUAAUUUUGGGGUGUUUAUAAAUGCUAUUUAUUUAUUAUGGAAUAAUGUAUGUAUAUAUGUAUUUAUGUUUUCAUGUAAAUCAUCUGAAUACUACCAUGGUACCUAUUGUACAUGUCGUUUUCAUGUAAAUCAUCUGAAAACUAUUAUGGUACCUAUUGUACAUGUUGUUUUCAUGUAAAUCAUCUGAAUACUACUCUGUUACCCAUCGUAUAUGUUGUUUUCAUGUAAAUCAUCUGAAUACCACUAUAGUACCCAUUGUACAUGUUGUUUUAAUGUAAAUCAUCUGAAUACUACUCUGUUACCCAUCGUAUAUGUUGUUUUCAUGUAAAUCAUCUGAAUACUACUAUAGUACCCAUUGUACAUGUUGUUUUCAUGUAAAUCAUCUGAAUACUAUUAUGGUACCUAUUGUACAUGUUGAUUUCAUGUAAAUCAUCUGAAUACUACUAUAGUACCCAUUGUACAUGUUGUUUUCAUGUAAAUCAUCUGAAUACUAUUAUGGUACCUAUUGUACAUGUUGUUUUCAUGUAAAUCAUCUGAAUACUACUAUAAUACCCAUUGUACAUGUUGUUUUCAUGUAAAUCAUUUGAAUACUACUAUAGUACCCAUUGUACAUGUUGUUUUCAUGUAAAUCAUCUGAAUACUACCAUGGACACAUUGUGCAUGUUGAUUUCAUGUAAAUCAUCUGAAUACUACUAUAGUACCCGUUGUACAUGUUGUUUUCAUGUAAAUCAUCUGAAUACUAUUAUGGUACCUAUUGUACAUGUUGAUUUCAUGUAAAUCAUCUGAAUACCACUAUAGAAUUCAGUGUACAUGUUUUUUUAAUGUAAAUCAUCUGAAUACUACUAUAGUACCCAUUGUACAUGUUGUUUUCAUGUAAAUCAUCUGAAUACUACUAUAGUACCCAUUGUACAUGUUGUUUUCAUGUAAAUCAUCUGAAUACUACUAUAAUACCCAUUGUACAUGUUGUUUUCAUGUAAAUCAUUUGAAUACUACUAUAGUACCCAUUGUACAUGUUGUUUUCAUGUAAAUCAUCUGAAUACUACCAUGGACACAUUGUGCAUGUUGAUUUCAUGUAAAUCAUCUGAAUACUACCAUGGUACUCAUUGUACAUGUUAUUUUCAUGUAAAUCAUUUGAAUACUACUAUAGUACCCAUUGUACAUGUUCUUUUCAUGUAAAUCAUCUGAAUACUACCAUGGACACAUUGUGCAUGUUGUUUUCAUGUAAAUCAUCUGAAUACUACCAUGGUACCCAUUGUACAUGUUAUUUUCAUGUAAAUCAUUUGAAUACUACUAUAGUACCCAUUGUACAUGUUCUUUUCAUGUAAAUCAUCUGAAUACUACCAUGGACACAUUGUGCAUGUUGAUUUCAUGUAAAUCAUCUGAAUACUACUAUAGUACCCAUUGUACAUGUUGUUUUCAUGUAAAUCAUUUGAAUACUACUGUAGUACCCGUUGUACAUGUUGUUUUCAUGUAAAUCAUCUGAAUACUACUAUAGUACCCAUUGUACAUGUUGUUUUCAUGUAAAUCAUUUGAAUACUACUGUAGUACCCGUUGUACAUGUUGUUUUCAUGUAAAUCAUUUGAAUACUACUAUAGUACCCAUUGUACAUGUUGUUUUCAUGUAAAUCAUCUGAAUACUACCAUGGACACAUUGUGCAUGUUGAUUUCAUGUAAAUCAUCUGAAUACUACCAUGGUACUCAUUGUACAUGUUAUUUUCAUGUAAAUCAUUUGAAUACUACUAUAGUACCCAUUGUACAUGUUCUUUUCAUGUAAAUCAUCUGAAUACCACUAUUGCACUCUUGUUGUUAUUCUAUUUAUAGCCUAAAUGCAUGAUCAAGUUUUCUAUUUUAUUUAUAUUCAUUAUGGUGUCAUGUUCAAAUCAAAUUUUGCUCAUCUGCGAUGGACGACGUUUGUGCUGAUUGUUUUACGAAUGUGUUUCGUGACGAUAAUUUUUUUCAGAGAACAGAAUGCAGAGACGAAGGAAUGAACCGACUUCUUCAUCUCAUUAUUUGACACACACAGCCUUACUUUCAUUCAUGUUUUCAUUAGUUACACAGCCUUACUUUCAUUCAUGUUUUCAUUAGUUACACAGCCUUACUUUCAUUCAUGUUUUCAUUAGUUACACAGCCUUACUUUCAUUCAUGUUUUCAUUAGACACAUAGCCUUACUUUCAUUCAUGUUUUCAUUAGACACACAGCCUUACAUUCAUUCAUGUUUUCAUUAGACACACAGCCUUACUUUCAUUCAUGUUUUCAUUAGACACACAGCCUUACAUUCAUUCAUGUUUUCAUUAGACACACAGCCUUACUUUCAUUCAUGUUUUCAUUAGACACACAGCCUUACAUUCAUUCAUGUUUUCAUUAGACACACAGCCUUACAUUCAUUCAUGUUUUCAUUAGACACACAGCCUUACAUUCAUUCAUGCUGCCAUUUAACAGGAAUGUUCUUUUCCCAUUGUUGUCAUGUUAUUUUCUAAUUGUUUUAACGAUAUAGUAGGUCACUUUCUCAGUUUAGGUCUUUAAGUUCUACUCUGUAUCUCACUCUGUCUGCCCCUUACAUAGCACCCUGUCCCCUACGUAGUGCACUAGUGUUGACCAAAGCCCUAUGUAGUGCACUAAUGUUGACCUAUCCCUUCCGGAGUGCACUAGUGUUGACCUAUACCCUACGUAGUGCACUACUGUUGACCAGAGCCCUAUGUUGAAAGUUGUGCACUAUAUAGGGAAUAGGGUGCCAUUUGGGAGACAAGCCUGUGUAACAUUAUUUAUAUAUAUAUAUAUAUCACUGUUCUUAAUCCUGGUCCAUGGGACCCACAUGGGGUGCAGGGAUUAGUUCCAACCCAGCACUAACACACCCGUUAACAGCUAUAGUCAAGGUUUGAUGAUUAGUUGAUCAGCUGUAGCCUGUUAGUUAGUGCUGGGAUGGCACUAAACUCUGCACAGGACCAGGGUCGUCCACCAGUGACGACAUCACUUCCUUGUUGACCUUGACCUUCAACCCUUGUUUUCUCGGUACUAACGUGACACAGAAAUAAAGCAGUGAUUCAAG
Molecule: long non-coding RNA, 3302 nt
Organism: Oncorhynchus tshawytscha (Chinook salmon)
Lineage: Eukaryota; Metazoa; Chordata; Actinopteri; Salmoniformes; Salmonidae
Source: Ensembl